UGCAGCAUCACAGCAGUGUGCAGGAUACCAGGGAUAUGUCAUUGCCAGCUUUUGGGGUGUGUGGGUCUCUAAUUAGCAGGGUGGUGUGCAGGCUACCUGGGAUGUGUUAUUGCCAGCUCCACCAUUGGGGUGUGUGGGUCCUUGUCUAGCAGGUCCCUGAGCUGGAAGGCAAGCUGUUCUAGUACCGUGGUGUCAGGAGCACAGAGUGUGGAUUGGUUGUGAUUACUUACCUCACUGUGUGCGUGCGUGUGUGUGUGGUGUAGGAAGAAUUAGUUUACAGCUAGCCUACCCAGCUCCGGGUAAACCUUGGUGGCCUCAUAAUUAGUGGGGUAUUACGCUGUUUAGUUCAUCUAAGCUAUAUUUUAUUUGUUCUUUUAAUUGUGUACCUGGUCAAUGUACACACUUGUACCCGGGCCAGGGGUAGCUC
Clarias gariepinus (North African catfish) is the source of this 427-nucleotide long non-coding RNA. RefSeq lists it as uncharacterized. The record is from RefSeq and is a predicted model, not a curated record. The transcript has 3 exons. NCBI's taxonomy places the organism in Eukaryota, Metazoa, Chordata, Actinopteri, Siluriformes, Clariidae.